ACCAUCCUUUUCUUGGGGUUGCGCUACUGUCCAAUGAGCGCGUAGUGAGGACAGUACUGCUAACGCCUAAACAACACACCCGCAUCAAUUAAAGCUUUGCUUUACUUUGGUGCAAUUUUUGGAAAA
Pongo abelii (Sumatran orangutan) is the source of this 126-nucleotide small nuclear RNA. The record is from Ensembl. NCBI's taxonomy places the organism in Eukaryota, Metazoa, Chordata, Mammalia, Primates, Hominidae.